AGUGUCUGAUGUUCCCUAUGAUUCU
RNAcentral lists this non-coding RNA (25 nucleotides) under Cricetulus griseus (Chinese hamster). The record is from RNAcentral. Lineage: Eukaryota; Metazoa; Chordata; Mammalia; Rodentia; Cricetidae.